CCUACGGGAGGCAGCAGUGAGGAAUAUUGGUCAAUGGACGAGAGUCUGAACCAGCCAAGUAGCGUGAAGGAUGACUGCCCUAUGGGUUGUAAACUUCUUUUAUAUGGGAAUAAAACAGGGUAUGCAUACCCUCUUGUAUGUACCAUAUGAAUAAGGAUCGGCUAACUCCGUGCCAGCAGCCGCGGUAAUACGGAGGAUCCGAGCGUUAUCCGGAUUUAUUGGGUUUAAAGGGAGCGUAGGUGGAUUGUUAAGUCAGUUGUGAAAGUUUGCGGCUCAAACGUAAAAUUGCAGUUGAAACUGGCAGUCGUGAGUACAGUAGAGGUGGGCGGAAUUCGUGGUGUAGCGGUGAAAUGCUUAGAGAUCACGAAGAACUCCGAUUGCGAAGGCAGCUCACUGGACUGCAACUGACACUGAUGCUCGAAAGUGUGGGUAUCAAACAGGAUUAGAGACCCCAGUAGUC
Molecule: ribosomal RNA, 460 nt
Filed under: uncultured bacterium
Lineage: Bacteria
Description: partial 16S ribosomal RNA
Rfam family: Bacterial small subunit ribosomal RNA
Source: RNAcentral